This 484-nucleotide long non-coding RNA is filed under the name Androctonus crassicauda. The record is from RNAcentral. Lineage: Eukaryota; Metazoa; Arthropoda; Arachnida; Scorpiones; Buthidae.
CAAUAAUAUAUUUAUAUAAUGGGAGUAAUUAUCGAGAAUAGAGUUCUAUCAAAACUGACAAGAUAAAUAGGUUAAGGCCCCUGAUUAUCAUGAUAAUUGAAUGAUUAUUAUUUAUGAACAUGGUCCUUUAUCAUCGGCCAUUACGGUACUCGAUGAUAAGUAUAACAGAUGUUGUAAUUGGACAAAUUGCCCGAAUGAUAGAUAUAUCGAAGAGUUACGAAGAAGUAGAGCAACUAAACAAACAGAAAAUCGACCCCAUAUGUUUUCAUCAAAAGAGUUGGGUGGCCCCACUCGGCCCUUAACACGUAAACAAAGACCGGUUGCAUUUCGCCUUGGACUUUAGAUGCAAAGAAGAAAUUCAAUUCUCCCUUUCAUGUGAUCAAGUAAAGAUUCAAAUGAAUGCGGAAAUAAAUUCUCAUAGGUCUGCUGUAUAUAUAUAUAUAUACAUACACACACACGUACACACACACUUAUUUAACAGAUU